This is a long non-coding RNA of Artibeus jamaicensis (Jamaican fruit-eating bat), 953 nucleotides long. RefSeq lists it as uncharacterized. The transcript has 3 exons. Lineage: Eukaryota; Metazoa; Chordata; Mammalia; Chiroptera; Phyllostomidae. The record is from RefSeq and is a predicted model, not a curated record.
UGCCGGGGGACGCCCCUGCCCGGCCACCUGAGAGGGGGCCACCUCCGCUCGGCCCGCGGGGCAGGGCAGGAGAGGACAGGGGCCCGGAGUCGGAGGAAAAGGGUGCGCAGGAUGCCUCGGACGGCGCGGCCGAAGGAAGGCCCGCGGGUUCCGGCGCAGAGGUGCGGAGGCUCGACGGAGUGCAGCGAUAAUGACUCUGGGAGGGUUUUCGGCCCCUGGGCCCCGCCUUUCCCCCAGCUCCGCGCCAUUGGCUCAGGUGCCGAGAGGCGGGGGGAAGGGCGGGGGGCGGGCCCGGGAUGAUUCACCUUGAAUGUGGCUCCGGUUGGUGCACCGCGCAGGACACGCCCGACUGGGACUGCGGAGACGCCGCGAGCCCCGCCCGCUCUCCCGACCCGGAUGGGUCUGGUCCCCGGGGGUCUCGCCGCCCGCCUGGUGCCGCGGCCUCCUGCCCUCGGUCUAGGGUGCCGCUGGCCGAGGUGCGCCCCGACGCGCUGCCAUCCCACCGCCCUCCGAGCCCGGAGCUAGCCGAGGUCACCCUCAGUCUUGAGAUUAGAAGACCGAGAUAUUCCUCCUGAAGACUCUUCUCGUUUCCUGUGCCUUCUCGUCUUUAUCGACAAAACCCAGAGCCUACGUGCCUUAUUGCUACAUGGGCUGUGCGUGUUCUCUGCCCAGAGCUCGGACCCCGCCUCUGACUGCCCGAGGGCUCAGGUGCAAACAGCACCCGUCUGUGUUUGUUGAAUAAAUGAAUGGCAUUUGUGUUCAUGAACACAGUUUCUUCUUCUGGACUGUAAUUAAUGAAAAAACCCAGGAGGAGGAAAGUUACAUUUAUUGGGUGGGUGCUUUAUGCUGUGUGAGGCCGGCAUUAUUAUGCCCACUUCAUGGACGAGAAAACCGAGGCUUCGGAAGGCAGAGAAAUGGAGGUGCAGGGGAGACUCAGAAGUCAUCCAAUCAAG